CCUACAGGAGGCAGCAGUAGGGAAUAUUGCUCAAUGGGGGAAACCCUGAAGCAGCAACGCCGCGUGGAGGAUGAAGGUUUUCGGAUUUUAAACUCCUUUUGUUAGAGAAGAUAAUGACGGUAUCUAACGAAUAAGCACCGGCUAACUCCGUGCCAGCAGCCGCGGUAAUACGGAUGGUGCAAGCGUUACUCGGAAUCACUGGGCGUAAAGAGCGCGUAGGCGGGAUAGCAAGUCAGAUGUGAAAUCCUAUGGCUUAACCAUAGAACUGCAUUUGAAACUGUUAUUCUAGAGUAUGGGAGGGGUAGGUGGAAUUCUUGGUGUAGGGGUAAAAUCCGUAGAGAUCAAGAGGAAUACUCAUUGCGAAGGCGACCUGCUAGAACAUAACUGACGCUGAUGCGCGAAAGCGUGGGGAGCAAACAGGAUUAGAUACCCGUGUAGUC
Molecule: ribosomal RNA, 440 nt
Filed under: uncultured bacterium
Lineage: Bacteria
Description: partial 16S ribosomal RNA
Rfam family: Bacterial small subunit ribosomal RNA
Source: RNAcentral